RNAcentral lists this ribosomal RNA (485 nucleotides) under uncultured bacterium. RNAcentral's name for it is "partial 16S ribosomal RNA". It matches the Rfam family "Bacterial small subunit ribosomal RNA", at positions 29 to 523 of the family's 1533-position model. The record is from RNAcentral.
AGUGAACGCUGGCGGCGUGCUUAACACAUGCAAGUCGAACGAGAACGGGAUAUAGCUUGCUAUAUUUGUCAGCUAAGUGGCGCACGGGUGAGUAAUGUAUAGAUAACCUGCCCUCUAGAAAGGAAUAACAGUUGGAAACGACUGCUAAUGCCCUAUAUGCCUUUAAUACAUAAGUAUGCAAGGGAAACGCUUUAGUGCUAGAGGAUGGGUCUGUAUGGUAUCAGCUUGUUGGUGAGGUAAUGGCUCACCAAGGCUAUGACGCCUAACUGGUUUGAGAGGAUGAUCAGUCACACUAGAACUGAGACACGGUCCAGACUCCUACGGGAGGCAGCAGUGGGGAAUAUUGCACAAUGGACGAAAGUCUGAUGCAGCAACGCCGCGUGGAGGAUGACACAUUUCGGUGCGUAAACUCCUUUUAUAUAGGAAGAUAAUGACGGUACUAUAUGAAUAAGCACCGGCUAACUCCGUGCCAGCAGCCGCCGCGG